ACUCCAAAGCCCUUUGCGUGCAGGAGUGUAUGCGCAUGCGCAUUGCCACGGUGGUUUAAAAAAUAAAGAUAUAAUGAAAAGUAAUUAAUAAAAAUUUAAUAUUUAAACAUUCCCACAAAUGUGCAAUGAACGUGCAAAAACUCUCUUUAGUAGUUGUUACUGUUUCUUUCUUUCUUUUUUUUUUUUUUUUUGAAAAAUAACGACGUCUCUGAGGCGCGAAAUCUGACAGCGAGAGGAACGGCCGGAUACAGGAGACGGGAAGAAACAAGCCGAUUAUGUUCGCGUUAAUUAAGUGGUUGGAAGAUGUAAAAUUCUCAAUUCUGCCAACUGAACAUAUACGAGAUUUUAAUGAGGAUGAAUAAUUAGCCGGCAUGGAGGAAACGGACCUUUAUUUCGUGGAGUGGCGACAAGAAGCCAAGGCGGGUGGCCAGUCUAAGAAGCCUCCAUCAUCAAGCUAGCAGGUGCCUUUUCCCAUAUAAUAUUACUUUAUUCUCGUGUAUUUGGAACGGAAGCGUAGAGCUGCCACCCAGGCAAAAGAGAAAUAUAAGUAUAUCACGUUAUAACGUGAAAAGUUUAUCGUUCUAACAAUAUACUAUCAUGUUUGAACAACAUGUUUGAACAACAUUGUACGAAAAAUGUACAUAAUUAUCACGUCCGUACAAAAUUGUGCGAACGUGACAAUUAUGUAUAUUAUAAUAACGUGAUAUUAUAUUAUACAAACAUGAAAAGCAUAAUGUUAGAACAAUAAACAUUUCACGUCAUAACGUGAUACAGCUCUAUUUUUCUUUUGUCUGGGUGGCAGCUCCACGCUUCCAUAAUUUGGUAAUCAAAAUAUGUAACUUAAUUAAUUAUAUUGUGACGUACUUUUGCCUUUUCUUAUUAUUCUGCCUUCUCAAUAACUAUCAAAGCCUAUUCACAUUUAAUUUGGCUUUCACAGAAAUCCUACCUCUCCUUCUGGCUACAGAGUACUUACCAAGCCCAUGAAAUCGAAUGCAGAUCUUCCUAAUGUGAGAUUUACAUAAAUAUGUCAAAGUCUCAACCUCAUGCUGCCCUCCCCCAUCCUCCUAAACCUGUGGAUACAAAUGCAGAUUUCCUUAAUGUUCAAUGGUGCGUGUUCUUCUAAUGGCCGCCUUCCCACUGGAGGUUUUGAUCCACAGCAAUUUAAAAGGAGGACAGAGCAAAACGGACG
Long non-coding RNA from Haplochromis burtoni (Burton's mouthbrooder), 1189 nucleotides. RefSeq lists it as uncharacterized. The record is from RefSeq and is a predicted model, not a curated record. NCBI's taxonomy places the organism in Eukaryota, Metazoa, Chordata, Actinopteri, Cichliformes, Cichlidae. The transcript is spliced from 6 exons.